Macrobrachium nipponense is the source of this 784-nucleotide long non-coding RNA. RefSeq lists it as uncharacterized. The record is from RefSeq and is a predicted model, not a curated record. The transcript has 4 exons. NCBI's taxonomy places the organism in Eukaryota, Metazoa, Arthropoda, Malacostraca, Decapoda, Palaemonidae.
CAGAUCGUAUACGUCAUAGAUAUGGGAGGAGCUAUGUCAUGACAUCAUAGUACCGAAGGCCGUGGGCCUCCAGAUAUCUUGGUAACAAUUACGCGUCAGUUGUUCUCCAUCAACGGCUCUGAAACAUCCUCUUCAAAACCACAUCUCUUCAGAAACAUGUCGGACGAACAGCCAGCCGCUCCUACCGAGGGUGAGGCCGCGCCACCAUGCCCGGAAACAGACUCUGCCCUCAAACUUUGUGUGACGGAGAAAGGAGAAACCAACUGCCAAGCAUUGCUGGAGGCGCAUCAGGAAUGUUUAAAGAAAUUGGGUCUUGAAGUAUGAGGUAUAAUUUACUCUGCAGGAAGUGGUAGUACCGACCAUCCGUCCUGUAAAAUCUGGAAGCUGAUUGGCCAGAAUUCGAGGGGAUCGGAAAGGGCUAGUCUAACGUAUUUUUGUAAUGUAAUGAUUGUAAUGAUAAGUAUCUAAUUGCUGACUAAGUCAACAACAUCACUCAUCCAACAAUGUUGUAAAUAGUUCUAUUAUAAUGACUGCUCCUCACAGCGCGUCUUGUAUAUUCUGUAACCUUAGGAAGGUGCGAUAUAUGUAUAUCUGUUAAUUUUGCUCAUAUUAAGUGUAGAAGUGACUCUAGUGCAUGAUAUCCUUGGUCAGAGAAGUCCAGCCGAACUUCUCGAGUAUAAAUGAAAUUCUCAUUUCAACUGUGGUAUCUUAUAAGUGCAAUUGAUAGGCUUUUUUAUUUGCAUUAUAGUUUCACUUUAUUCAGGAAUAUAAUGAGGAGAACUUA